Molecule: non-coding RNA, 107 nt
Organism: Corylus avellana
Lineage: Eukaryota; Viridiplantae; Streptophyta; Magnoliopsida; Fagales; Betulaceae
Source: RefSeq, a predicted model, not a curated record
AAUCCAUGGGGUGGGCAUUUCAAAAUUAAUUCUUUAAAUCUUUCCCAGCUUUCAUAGAAUUUCUCUUCCUCUUCCUGAGUAAAACCGUUAAUCUCCUAACGGAAUUC